GACGAACGCUGGCGGCGUGCUUAACACAUGCAAGUCGAACGGAAAGGCCCUGCUUUUGUGGGGUGCUCGAGUUGCGAACGGGUGAGUAACACGUGAGUAACCUGCCCUUGACUUUGGGAUAACUUCAGGAAACUGGGGCUAAUACCGGAUAUGAGCUCCUGCUGCAUGGUGGGGGUUGGAAAGUUUCGGCGGUUGGGGAUGUACUCGCGGCUUAUCAGCUUGUUGGUGGGGUAGUGGCUUACCAAGGCUUUGACGGGUAGCCGGCCUGAGAGGGUGACCGGCCACAUUGGGACUGAGAUACGGCCCAGACUCCUACGGGAGGCAGCAGUGGGGAAUAUUGCACAAUGGGCGGAAGCCUGAUGCAGCAACGCCGCGUGCGGGAUGACGGCCUUCGGGUUGUAAACCGCUUUCGCCUGUGACGAAGCGUGAGUGACGGUAAUGGGUAAAGAAGCACCGGCUAACUACGUG
RNAcentral lists this ribosomal RNA (468 nucleotides) under uncultured bacterium. RNAcentral's name for it is "partial 16S ribosomal RNA". It matches the Rfam family "Bacterial small subunit ribosomal RNA", at positions 28 to 507 of the family's 1533-position model. The record is from RNAcentral.